AACGUAGGAGGCAAGCGUUAUCCGGAUUUACUGGGCGUAAAGCGCGUGCAGGCGGCUUGGAAAGUUGGAUGUGAAAGCUCCCGGCUCAACUGGGAGAGGUCGUUCAAGACUUCCGGGCUGGAGGGUGGUAGAGGGAGGUGGAAUUCCGGGUGUAGUGGUGAAAUGCGUAGAUAUCCGGAGGAACACCAGUGGCGAAAGCGGCCUCCUGGACCACAUCUGACGCUCAGACGCGAAAGCUAGGGGAG
Molecule: ribosomal RNA, 245 nt
Filed under: uncultured bacterium
Lineage: Bacteria
Description: partial 16S ribosomal RNA
Rfam family: Bacterial small subunit ribosomal RNA
Source: RNAcentral